UACGUAGGGUGCGAGCGUUAAUCGGAUUUACUGGGCGUAAAGCGUGCGCAGGCGGCCCGUUCAGACAGGUGUGAAAUCCCUGGGCUCAACCUAGGAAUUGCGCUUGUGACUGGCGGGCUCGAGUACGGUAGAGGGGGGUGGAAUUCCUGGUGUAGCAGUGAAAUGCGUAGAGAUCAGGAGGAACACCGAUGGCGAAGGCAGCCCCCUGGGCCUGUACUGACGCUCAUGCACGAAAGCGUGGGGAGCAAACAGG
This 253-nucleotide ribosomal RNA is filed under the name uncultured microorganism. RNAcentral describes it as "partial 16S ribosomal RNA". It matches the Rfam family "Bacterial small subunit ribosomal RNA", at positions 524 to 776 of the family's 1533-position model. The record is from RNAcentral.